ACGGAGGAUGCGAGCGUUAUCCGGAUUUAUUGGGUUUAAAGGGUGCGUAGGUGGUAAAUUAAGUCAGCGGUGAAAGUUUGUGGCUCAACCAUAAAAUUGCCGUUGAAACUGUUUUACUUGAGUGUGUUUGAGGUAGGCGGAAUGCGUGGUGUAGCGGUGAAAUGCAUAGAUAUCACGCAGAACUCCAAUUGCGAAGGCAGCUUACUAAACCAUAACUGACACUGAAGCACGAAAGCGUGGGGAUCAAACAG
This 251-nucleotide ribosomal RNA is filed under the name uncultured bacterium. RNAcentral describes it as "partial 16S ribosomal RNA". It matches the Rfam family "Bacterial small subunit ribosomal RNA", at positions 525 to 775 of the family's 1533-position model. The record is from RNAcentral.